This 1074-nucleotide long non-coding RNA is filed under the name Homo sapiens (human). Its description in RNAcentral is "novel transcript". Lineage: Eukaryota; Metazoa; Chordata; Mammalia; Primates; Hominidae. The record is from RNAcentral.
GGCGGGUGCCAUGCGUCUGGAGCUUCACAUUCUCUGCCCCCCACCCACCGCGCCGGCGCUCCCUUGUCACGCCUCGGGAAGCGCGCACCUGCCAAGCAGGUUUCCAAGAUUACUGAGAAAGAAGAAAGUACUGAGGAGCCUUAUGAUGAAUAAUCUGAUAUCAUGUGAAAUGAGGAAAUAAGAAGCUUUCUGCUGACUUCAUUUUGACCCAGGGUCCAAAAGGUGAUGUAAUCCUGUGGCAAGAAGAUUCAAAACUGUGGACUAUCUUGCAAAAAAUACAAGAAGAUAUUGAAAGUUUUCAUGAGUGCCUACCACCUAAUCUCAAACACUAUCAUUCAUAUGUGCCUCAUUGAGCAAAUCUUUAAUGAGGAUCUAUAUGCCAGCAAUAUCUUUUGCUUGGGAGCAGAAACAGAAAGUACAUGAUGGACUUCAUUGAAGGAUGGAGAUUUGGAAGACAUGAAUGGAUGAAGAACCAAGUGCGUGAGGGCACCUAUCAGGAUUAUUGCUGAAAUCCUUAUGGAGUUAACUGGCUGAGAGGAAGGCAAGCAAGCGAGGACUGAUGGGCCCUUGGCACUGUGAGAACAGUGGAGGAGGAGGGAGCAGGGUUCAUAAGGAGGAGCACAAACAGAAAGUUCAGUGGCCCCAAUAAAAAUAACACCAGAAUCUUCCAGAUACUUUCUCCAUAAGGCGAAAAGUAGAGAUGGGGUUUCACCAUGUUGCCCAGGCUGGUCUCAAACUCCUGAGCUCAGGCCAUCUGCCCGCCUCGGCCUCCCAAAGUGCUAGGAUUACAGAUUUCUGACUUCAUAUCUGUGGGAUCCACACAAUGGGGAGGUACUGGCCUUGGAAUCCAUGGUUCCCCAGCUAUCAUUUUACUUUAGAAUUACAGUGUUCUCUGUUAGUGUCAAGGGAAUGAACCUGACGAGAAAAGACCAAACAUAGGACUGUUACAGGGAAGAAAAAUAUGAAAAGACCUAAAGAUGCACGUCCUCAUUAUAUGUAAGGAAUCUAUUUCCUAGAAUCCUAUAAAAAGCUCAAGUGAAUUUGCUUCAGUUAAUAAAUGUGAUUUAAUUAUAA